UACGAGCAAGCCAUAAAACAUGAACAUGGAUCAUUCAUAACAUCGACCGGAGCCUUGGCUACCUUGUCCGGCACGAAGACUGGCCGUUCGCCGAGGGACAAGCGCGUCGUCAAGGAUGAAACCACUGCCAAUGAGCUUUGGUGGGGAAAAGGCUCGCCAGAAGA
Molecule: long non-coding RNA, 164 nt
Organism: Zingiber officinale
Lineage: Eukaryota; Viridiplantae; Streptophyta; Magnoliopsida; Zingiberales; Zingiberaceae
Exons: 3
Source: RefSeq, a predicted model, not a curated record